CCGGACCAUGAUCGCGCUGGUGCUCCGAGAGGAGCUUAAUAGGGAACGCGGUGUGGGCGCUUGCGCCCGAAGCCGAGGCUGUCCCUGCAACUGUAAGCGGCGAGCGAGAUGCGCGGGCUUCCUCCGAUGGAAGCAGCCACUGGGCCUUUGGCCUGGGAAGGUGUGCAUCGAGUGACGACCCGUGAGCCAGGAGACCUGCCAGCGAGAGGUCGCUCUU
RNAcentral lists this non-coding RNA (217 nucleotides) under Sphingomonas sp. Lineage: Bacteria; Pseudomonadati; Pseudomonadota; Alphaproteobacteria; Sphingomonadales; Sphingomonadaceae. The record is from RNAcentral.